UACGGAGGGUGCGAACGUUGCUCGGAAUCAUUGGGCGUAAAGCGCACGUAGGCGGCGAGGAAAGUUGGGUGUGAAAGCCCUGGGCUCAACCCAGGAAGUGCAUUCAAAACUACCUUGCUUGAAUCUCGGAGGGGGUCAGAGAAUUCCCGGUGUAGAGGUGAAAUUCGUAGAUAUCGGAAGGAACACCAGUGGCGAAAGCGGCUUCCUGGUCCAGCACCGACGUUCAGGCACGAAAGCGUGGGGAGCAAACAGG
RNAcentral lists this ribosomal RNA (253 nucleotides) under uncultured bacterium. Its description in RNAcentral is "partial 16S ribosomal RNA". It matches the Rfam family "Bacterial small subunit ribosomal RNA", at positions 524 to 776 of the family's 1533-position model. The record is from RNAcentral.